Molecule: non-coding RNA, 264 nt
Organism: Cinara cedri
Lineage: Eukaryota; Metazoa; Arthropoda; Insecta; Hemiptera; Aphididae
Source: the annotation of a GenBank genome assembly
CUUAUGAUCUUAAUCCAUAUUUCAUUCUACAAAGAUAUUUAAAAGAUGUCUGAAAUGAAGUCUAUAAGUUUAAUCGUGGGAUAUGACCACUAAUCAAAGGACGUAAAAGUUAUUGUAUGUUCACGUAAUCGACAAUGCAAUUCAAUGCGAAUCUUCAAAAUUAAGUGUAAUUCGGUGGAAUUGUUUUUUUGUAAUCUUUAAACAGUUGGUUUAACUAACUAUUCAUUAAGAAUUCCAACUCUAAGUUAUGAUUUUAUACUUAUU